GACGAACGCUGGCGGCGUGCUUAACACAUGCAAGUCGAACGGAAAGGCCCUGCUUUUGUGGGGUGCUCGAGUGGCGAACGGGUGAGUAACACGUGAGUAACCUGCCCUUGACUUUGGGAUAACUUCAGGAAACUGGGGCUAAUACCGGAUAGGAGCUCCUGCUGCAUGGUGGGGGUUGGAAAGUUUCGGCGGUUGGGGAUGGACUCGCGGCUUAUCAGCUUGUUGGUGGGGUAGUGGCUUACCAAGGCUUUGACGGGUAGCCGGCCUGAGAGGGUGACCGGCCACAUUGGGACUGAGAUACGGCCCAGACUCCUACGGGAGGCAGCAGUGGGGAAUAUUGCACGAUGGGCGGAAGCCUGAUGCAGCAACGCCGCGUGCGGGAUGACGGCCUUCGGGUUUUAAACCACUUUCGCCUGUGACGAAGCGUGAGUGACGGUAAUGGGUAAAGAAGCACCGGCUAACUACGUG
Molecule: ribosomal RNA, 468 nt
Filed under: uncultured bacterium
Lineage: Bacteria
Description: partial 16S ribosomal RNA
Rfam family: Bacterial small subunit ribosomal RNA
Source: RNAcentral